CUGUUUUCUAUCUCUCUUCUUUUCUUCAGCUAUAACUCUAAUUUGCAUAGACCUACAAAUGAGAUGAAUCAAAAUGAUCUGGAAAGCUAACACAUAGACCUACAAAUUUGAUUUACAGACCUUACUGAAAUUUUGAAGGUAAGACCCUUGAAUUGGGAUUACAAAGUUGAUCUGAAAAACCUAGAAACCUGAAAAUUCUAAACUUCAGGGUACCUGACCAGUUAUGGCAAAAAUGCCAUAAUUUUGCCUACAAAACUGCAAAUGUAAUGAUUCAAAAACCAAAAUCUUCAUAAGACCUAGAACUACAACUUUAAUGUUUUGACCAAAACUCAGAACCAAAUGCAACUUAGGGAAAUUGCUAGGAGAAAUCAGGAAUUACUAAUCUGGAAAUUCCUGCACCUGGACAUAUUUUUCUGCAAAAUUUCAGUUCUGCCGCUAAAAAAAAAAUUUGCAAAAUUUCAGAUCUGCCACGGGAGUAAAAAAAAAAUUGAAUUGCAACAGCAAAAAAAAGAAAAAGAAAAAGGAGGCAGAUUUGGUGUGGCACAAAUAGGGUUCACUACACACCCUAAAU
This 571-nucleotide unclassified non-coding RNA is filed under the name Hevea brasiliensis (rubber tree). The record is from RNAcentral. Lineage: Eukaryota; Viridiplantae; Streptophyta; Magnoliopsida; Malpighiales; Euphorbiaceae.